CAUCAAAUUUGCAUUUUAUGAGCCAAACAGAGAGACAGAUUCUCGCGGUUUUCAUUUUUCUUCUUAGUUUUGAUCACAUUCUUGUCUCUUUCACCUGCAAAAACCCAUUUCUCAGAAAAAACCCUAAUCUCUUCUGGGGUUUCUUCCUCUAUUUUCAGAAUGAUAACGGGGAGGAAGAAAAAGACUAUGCCUUUAAUGGAUAGAAUUGGGCGGCAUCCGGGUGUUAACAGCAGUGUAACAGCAAAGAAUUUAUUGACUAAUGAUAUUGGAGGGGUCAUAUUUGGAUGUACAAGAUACACCAUGGAGGAAUGUCUCUCCAACCAGAUAUUUGGUUUACCGGCUUUCCACAUUGCAUACAUAAAGAACAUCAAACCUGGCUUGCCACUAUUCUUGUUCAAUUACUCUGAUCGAAAAAUGCAUGGAAUAUAUGAAGCUGCAAGCGAUGGCGAAAUGAAUAUCAACCCAUAUGGAUGGAGUGAAAAUGGUCAAGAGUUUACUAAAUAUCCUGCACAGGUACGCAUAUGCAUCCGAAAGCAAUGCAAGCCAUUGUUAGAAAACCAGUACAAACCAAUAAUCAUAGACAACUAUUACACUGAAGGUCAUUUUUGGUUUGAGCUUGACCAUUCUCAGACCGGUCAUUUGAUCUGGCUGUUUGAAUCCUCGCCCAUAGCUGUCCCUGUGUAUCCUCAAGCUGCACCCAAGCAGAAAUUGGCUUCUAAACCUAGUAAGGAAGUUGAAUGUGAAGAUUCGUGGGAGACAGUUUCAGACAGUACUGUGACUAACUUGAAUCAGCAUGAGGUAGCAAUCAAGUCUCCAGCUAAGCUUCCACAGUAUAAGUCAAAGUGGAAUGUUCUUCGAGAUAUGAACUCUGAGUCUGAUGAAAAUGAAGAGGAAGCUCUGAGCUUUUAUGAUUCAGAGGAUGAUACUCCUUGGCAUGUGCAGACCAGCUUUGAGUUAGGUUCAUCAAGUCCUACUCCAUGCAAGGAGGAACUUGUCUAUGGUAAACUAUUGCAGUUGGUUAAUGAAAAUGAGAAGGCAGAUUGCGAUUCAGUAGGUGAUGAAGAAAAUGUUGGUUGGUCGUGUGAUUUGAAUGCUAGCGCUGUGGACAUCAAUUGUGAGCCAGAGAUACCAUCGUUUAAUUCAGAGAAGCAUGAAGUGGUCUCAACCAAUUCUUCUGAUGCUCGUUCUGAAAACAACCAGAAUUGGGAACCUGAUUUAGAUAAGUUGGAGGAAGAAAAUGAGGAGGACCUUGUCUACCGUAAACUAUUGCAGUUGGUUAAUGAAAGGGAGAAGGCAAAUUGUGAUUCAGUAGGUAAUGAGGAAAAUGUUGGUGUGUCAUAUGAUUUGACUAGCCAUGCGGACUUCAAUUGUGAUUUAGUAGGUGAUGAAGGAAAUGUUGGUGCGACGUAUGACUUGACUAGCCAUGCGGACUUCAAUUGUGAGCCAGAGGCGCCAAUACUUAGUUUCGAGAAGCAUGAAGUGGUCUCAACCAACUUUGUUGAUACUCGCUUUUUCUCACCUACCUCUUCUGGUGUCAAGUCUAUUUUAGAUCAGUUGAGGAAAGAGGUUGAUGAGGUUAAAGUUCAAGAACUUCAAAUGACUAGUCAAUUGGAGAUGAAACUGACUAAGGCAGAGAUUCAAGUUCAACAGUUGACAGAGCGUAUCACAAAACUGGAGUCUCAGCUGAGUCUUUCCACUGCAUCUGUAAAGAGUCUAAAGACAUGUUGGGCUGAUACCAUGGACAUGGAGGAGUUCCUUGGCAACAAUAAGCUAGUAUUCUUAUUUGGUGGUUAUGAUGGCGCUGCUUGGUUGUCAACCGUGGACUGUUAUUCACCUCUUAGUGACACCAAGAAAUCUUUAGGGCCAAUGAACAUAGCCCGUUCAUAUGCCGCAGCUGCUGCCCUCUGUGGUGACAUUUAUGUAUUUGGUGGUGGAGAUGGUAAAUUGUGGUUGAAUACAGUUGAAUCUUACAAUGCACAAAGAAACGAGUGGACUCCCCGUCCUUCAUUAGCACACAAAAAGGGAUGCUUAUCCGGGGUAACUUUGGGUAACAAAAUUUUUGCAAUCGGUGGUGGAGACGGUGUGAAUUGCUUUUCAGAUGUAGAAAUGUUUGAUCCAGCUGUUGGAAAGUGGAUGCCUACUCAGCCCAUGCAUCAAAAGAGGUUUUCUAGUGCUGCAGUAGAGCUCAAUGGUGCGAUUUAUGUUGCUGGGGGAUUUGAUGGAGAAGACUACUUGAAUUCAGUGGAACGAUUUGAUCCCAGAGAAGUAGUUUCUUGGUCCAGCAUCCCAAGUAUGAACAUUCGACGAGGGUGUCACUCCUUAGUCACUAUGAAUGAGAAACUAUACGCGUUAGGAGGCUAUAACGGAGAGAACAUGGUUUCAAGCAUUGAGGAGUUUGACCCUCGUAAGAACUCAUGGAUAGUACGCGAUGAAAUGAAGGAAGCUAGAGGAUAUGCAACUGCAGCAGUCAUUGGAGAAUCAAUCUUUGUUCUUUCAGGGCUGAAAAAUGGCAAAGUAUUGACAGAAACGGUGGAGUGUUACAAAGAAGGUCAGGGUUGGUCAGUGGCUAACCUUAAGGGCGCAGGGAAGAGAUGCUUCUUCACCGCGAUUUCUAUGUGAAGUGUCGUUGGAGCAUGAGGUUAGGAGGUGACAGACUUAAAGAACGUCGAACCUGGCUUGCUGCUCAUCUUGUUCAAUUACUCUGAUCAAAAAAUGCAUGGAAUAUAGGAAGCUGCAAGCAAUGGAGAAAUAAAUAUCAAUCCAUAUGGAUGGAGUGAAGAUUGUCAAGAAUGAACUCAAUACCCUGCCCAGGUCCUCAUAUGUAUUCGAAAGAAAUGCAAGUCACUGUUUGAAUACCAGUUCAAACCAAUACUUAUAGACAUCUGUUACUACUGAAUAUUAUAUUUGGUUUCAGCUCGACCAUUCUCAGACAGGUCAUUUGGUCCUGCUGUUUGAAUUCUCGUCCAUAACUGUCCCUGUGCAUCCUCGAACUGCACCUAUAUGAAAGUUAAAUGUGAAGAUUCAUGGGAUGCAGUUUCAGACAGUAUUGGGACUCAAUUGAAUCUGCAUCAGGUAGCAAUUGAGGCUCCAGCUAAUCUUUCACAGUAUUCGUUAAAGUGGAAUGUUCUUCGAGAUAUAAACUCUACGCUGGUGAAAAUAAAGAGGAAGGUCCGAGCUUUUCUGAUUCAGAGGAUGAUACUCCUUUCCUCCUUGGAAUGUGUCAACCAGCUCUGAAUUAGGUUCGUCAAGUGCUACAUGUGGGGAUGAAAACAACCAGAAUUUGGAACCUGAUUUAGAUAAGGUUGAGGAAGAAAAUGACGAGGAACUUGUAUACCAUAAACUAUUGCUGUUGGUUAAUGAAAGAGAGAAGGAAAAUUGUGAUUCAGUAGGUGAUGAAGAAAAUGUGGGUGUCUCGUGUCAUUUGAAUGCUAGCUCCGUGGACUUCAAUUGUGAGCCAGAGGUACCACUGUUUAAUUCAGAGAAGCAUGAAAAAAGGUCUCACCUACCUUUUAUGAUGUUCAGUCUAUUGUGGAUCAGUUGAGGCAAGAAGUUGAAGAGGUCAAACCGUUAAGUUCAACCCCUUCAAAAGACUAGUCCAUUGGAGAUGAAGCUGGUGCUAUUAAUUUACUAUGGCAGAGAUUCAAGCUCAACUGUUGACAGAGCGUAUCAUUAAACUGGAGUCUCAGCUGGGUGUUUCCGCUGCAUCUGUAGAGAGGCUAGAGACAAGUUUUGCUAAUACCAUGGACAUGGAGGAGUUCCUUGGCAAUAAUAAGCUGGUAUUCUUAUUUGGUUGAUAUGAUGGCGCUGCUUGGUUGUCAAUCGUGGUCUGUGUAUUCACCUCUUAGUGACACCAGGAAACCUUUAGGGCCGCUGCUGCUGCCCUCUGUUGUGACGUUAACGUAUUUGGUGGUGGAGAUGAUACUUUGUGGUUCAAUACAGAGAUUUUCUAUUGCUGCAGCAGAGCUCAACGGUGCAAUUUAUGCUGCUGGGGGAUAUGAUGGAGAAGACUACUUGAAUUGAACGAUUUGAUCCGAGAGAAGUAGUUUCUUGGUCCAGCAUCCCAACUAUGAACUUGAAAUAGGGUGUCACUCCUUAGUCGCUAUGAAUGAGAAAUUAUACACAUUAGGAGGAUAUAAGUCUAUAACGGAGAGAACAUGGUUUCAAGUGUUGAGGAAUUUGAUCCUCGUAAGAACUCAUGGACAGUAAGUGAUGAAAUGAAGGAAGCUAGAGGAUAUGCAACUGCAGCAGUCAUUGGAGAAUCAAUCUUUGUUAUCUCAGGGCUGAAAGAUGGCAAAUUUUAUUGACAGAAACGGUGGAGUUUUACAAAGAAGGUCAGGGUUGGUCCGUGGCUAACCUCAAGGGUGCAGGAAAGAGAUGCUUCUUCACCGCAAUUUCCAUGUGAAUUACCAUAGCAGCAUGAGGUUAGGAGGCGACGAAUUAGAAGUUUUUGUUGAUCCCUGGUGGGCUUUUUGUAGGUAAAUAUUAGUAUCCCCAUUAGGCCAUUAUAUAUCCUUGUUACUAGUUUAGACUCAAAGUGAAUUAUAAAAAGUACAGAAGUUAGACAGAAGAAAGUAUUUAUCAGUUACCCUUUUUUUGAGAAGAAAGGUUGAAAU
This is an RNA transcript of Papaver somniferum (opium poppy), 4613 nucleotides long. It is a transcript of the gene named ring canal kelch protein-like, with no coding region annotated. Lineage: Eukaryota; Viridiplantae; Streptophyta; Magnoliopsida; Ranunculales; Papaveraceae. The record is from RefSeq and is a predicted model, not a curated record. The transcript has 19 exons.